CUUCAGGAAAAUUAGUUUGUCAGGUAUAGAGCCAGUGUCACUAAUCUUAGUGGGCCUCAGCAGGACUUGAGACUGGCCAUUGUUGGAGUGGGGAGAAGACCUUCUGAUAUGGAUGUUGAACCAUCCCUGCUGCCUUGGAAUAAAUCCCACUUGAUCAUGGUGUCAGUUUUGCCAAGAUCAUAGAAGGGGCCUCAAUAUGUGAUAAACUAACUACGAUAAGGAAAUGGAAACUGAAGCAGCACAAUAUGAACAAGGAAGAAUUGUCAUCAAUCACUCAAGCCAACAGACGCCACCAGCUUUGGAAAAGAUUUUAGCAUUUUAUGCCCAUCUGUUUCUUAAUCUACUUAAUACAUGC
This 355-nucleotide long non-coding RNA is filed under the name Equus caballus (horse). Its description in RNAcentral is "lncRNA (ENSECAG00000047350.1)". Lineage: Eukaryota; Metazoa; Chordata; Mammalia; Perissodactyla; Equidae. The record is from RNAcentral.